This 75-nucleotide transfer RNA is filed under the name Nocardia nova. RNAcentral describes it as "tRNA-Val". It matches the Rfam family "tRNA". Rfam says of the family: Transfer RNA (tRNA) molecules are approximately 80 nucleotides in length. Their secondary structure includes four short double-helical elements and three loops (D, anti-codon, and T loops). RNAcentral also lists the same sequence under 4 other names. The record is from RNAcentral. Lineage: Bacteria; Bacillati; Actinomycetota; Actinomycetes; Mycobacteriales; Nocardiaceae.
GGUCCCAUAGCUCAGCGGGAGAGCGCUCGCCUCACACGCGAGAGGUCGCUGGUUCGAAACCAGCUGGGACCACAA